Molecule: small RNA, 132 nt
Filed under: Klebsiella pneumoniae
Lineage: Bacteria; Pseudomonadati; Pseudomonadota; Gammaproteobacteria; Enterobacterales; Enterobacteriaceae
Description: RtT sRNA
Rfam family: RtT RNA
About the family: This family represents a bacterial cis-regulatory element known as RtT RNA. The exact function of RtT is unknown although it is thought that it may be involved in changing the cellular response in relation to amino acid starvation.
Source: RNAcentral
UAUUCCGCCCCACGGGGAAGGAUGAGAAGCUUCGACUAAGGUUCGACUCGAGCGAAGCGAGAGAACGUUGCCGCAGGCAACGGCCCGAAGGGCGAGGCGCUUUAGCGCCGAGUAAUCCUUCCCCCACCACUG